CUUGAACUCUCUUAAUUAUUUUUCUGAUAUCAAUGACCACGAGUCUCCGGUAAUUAUUAACUGGUGGCGUGUAAUUACCCCUGCCAUUCGUCAUUCAUGUUUUGGAUAUGAGGUAAUUUAAACCAUGGUGACACACCGCCCCGCCCAUCCCUCCGCCCUUCCUGCCCCAUCCCCACCUCUUCCCGUCCCGCCCAGCCCCGCCCCCAUCAUUAUUCAGAUUGUCCUGAUUGGUCAAACAAAAAUUCCCGCCAAAAGUAUUGACCAAUAAGGUUGUUAUUCCUAUGGAGCAAUCACAGCAAGCCUGCGAGUGAAAUGUGUAUUUAAGAGUUAGCGAGAUGUGUGAAGGACCGAGAGAACGGAGCAAUGGCUUGUGUUUCUGAGGUUGCUGAAAACCAAAGCUUCCCAUACCGGGAUUCGAACCCGGACCGUCUGGAUGAAAGCCAGAAAUCCUACGCGUUAGACCAUAUGGGAGGAUCUGUAGAAGAAGAGCACGAUGACGAGAAUCUAAAAAGGAUCAGAAUGUUUCAUUGUUGAAACUGUGACAGACUGUGAUGCUGUGACAGACGAAAGUGUGCUAUAUCAUACAUUUCAAACCUCGUCUCUCUCCUUCCCUUUCUGACCUGGACCUGGAUGCUUCAGUGCCCUGACUACAGAUAAACAGCAGAAUAGUUUAAUAAUGAGGAAAACUGACCAAAGUGGCAGGACAGUACAAAUAAAGAUGUUAUUGACAUUUAAGGGAAUGAACAUACAGAUUAUACAAUAGCCAAGAACUCCCAUCCAUGCAGCAGCAGAACAUGCCAGCCUGUAUCUCAGGGGCUUGUACUUCAGGAAAGUGACAGGAUGGACCACCGCCAUGUAACGCUCCACACAGAUCAAACAGAGAAACAGAGGAUGGGCGCAGAUAAAUACUCCCCCAUAAAAACUACUAAUGGUGUAAAUUCUAAACAGACAAAACUAAGAACGUAGAAUAAACAGCGUAUGCAGAUGAACAUCUCGUUAACAGUCAGAUUGAGGCCGAAAAACUCAGACACAACCGCACUUCCUUUUCUCAUCAAAAUAAGCCAUAAGACGUAGGAAUUGAUAGGUAAACCCACAAUGAAAUUGAUUGCAUAACCUGGAAUGUACAUAGGGUCUGUAUAUCCUGCCCAAGGAUUCCUGCUUGUAGCAUUUCUAAACAGGUUUGAGAUGGGUGUGCUGGAAAGCCCAUCAGAGACGUUCAUCUUCAGAGUGCACACCCCUUCUCACAAUAAAAUAUGAAAUCUGAAAUAAAUUACACAAAGAAAAUUAUAUAAGGGCCAAAUAUAAUGAAACAAACAGCCUGUUUUCUUUAUCAGAACAAAUUCAUUGUAUAGUGUUUU
Astyanax mexicanus (Mexican tetra) is the source of this 1358-nucleotide long non-coding RNA. RefSeq lists it as uncharacterized. Lineage: Eukaryota; Metazoa; Chordata; Actinopteri; Characiformes; Acestrorhamphidae. The record is from RefSeq and is a predicted model, not a curated record. The transcript is spliced from 3 exons.